Molecule: transfer-messenger RNA, 519 nt
Filed under: Rickettsia asiatica
Lineage: Bacteria; Pseudomonadati; Pseudomonadota; Alphaproteobacteria; Rickettsiales; Rickettsiaceae
Rfam family: Alphaproteobacteria transfer-messenger RNA (bases 8-472)
About the family: Bacterial tmRNA, also known as 10Sa RNA or SsrA, is named for its dual tRNA and mRNA-like properties.
Source: RNAcentral
AGGCAUAAUAUUUGGUGCUAAUAUAGCUAUAGUAAUAAACGUAAUUUAGAAUAGAGGUUACGGACUCGGGGGCAGUACCCGACGCCUCCACCAAAACUUUCUAAAUAACUUGCUCCUAAAGGUAAUUUGUACGUCGAUCCGGUACUCGAAUCCUCACGUACUAAGUGUAUGCUGCGGUUCUGCGUUCCGUGUCUUCUUCAAAUUCCUCUUUAUUAGCUGCGUCAUUUAGAUGUAAUAAUUCUUAAAGAGUAGACAAUACGAAGUUCAUCGAGUAUUUUAUGGGGGCGAAAUAGGAUCGACGUGCCUAAUAAAAAAAUUGCUUUUACUCGGGAUGAUUCCGCCGAUGGUUUUUGCCAUAUGGGUCAAAACAAAGAAAUGCAAACGAUAAUAAUCGUUAUGUGGGUGCUCCAGCUUUAGCUGCAGCUUAAUCCUACGCGGCUUGGGGGUUUGCCGGGCAACAGAAAAACCCUCGCGUAUACUCGUUUAAUUUGAAAAAUUGGUAUUGCCUAAAAACGGUUG